ACUACAUGAAUUUGACAACCUAAUAAAUUACAAAACUACAUAUGGAAUAAGAAAAGUUUCCAACACAUUACAAGGUAAUUUAUGAAUUACAUACUAACUACAUAGAAGAAGAAACUAAUUUACUACAAAUUUCUGUAUAAUCAGCAAAUUUAAAGAAUGUCUGCCUCUUUGGACAUGAUUUUUCCAUCAAAAUCAUGGUCUCUUCUUGUGAUCCAUACCAUACAGCAAAGUUCCAAAACUUCAGCUUCUAAACAUGCUGAUUUAGCCAACCUGUGGCUAAAUCUGCAGGUUGCAGCUUAUGGACAAACAGUCAAAAAGAAAAUGAAAACAGUAUUUUUGAGUAAAAGGAAUCAUGUGAAAGAGAUAAAGAAAGAACUAUAAAUAAUAUCAAACCUAAAUUCUAUUAUGAGACAAAGCUAUUUUUUGCAGUUUUAAGAACAUUUUUAACUACUGAAAUGCAUAGAAAGGCAAAGGAAAAGUUGAUGGAAAACAAUAAACAAAUAUUACUUUCUACUAUUAAAUCAUAUAUUCAUACACACAUAGCCAUGAAUAAUUUUAGGUUUGCACAAAUAAACUCAUUCUCAUAGUUAGAAUAUGAUUACAUACUUAGAGAUGAUUCAAAGUAAGACCAAAUAAAGGUCACUAACCCAUCUGAAUCUUCCAAAGAUAGUGAGCAACAGUACACAACAAACAACAGUCAAAUCAAAGCCCAAGUUCAGCUUCUAAAACUCAGAGAUUUCAACUCAAGAAAACCAAGAAAGAACCUUCUACUUCAAGUCAUUUUUCAGCUUUUAAGAAAACCAAGGAAGAAAGUUUCUCUGAAAUUCCUUAAACCUAAACUUUUUCAGAAGAGGAAUGAAUGAUUUAUUGAGCAGUAGAUUGAUGCUUAACAUCUAUCUGAAAUUCUGUGUAUGAAAGGCACUAUAUACAGGGAUAUACAAUGCCACGUGCUGAAGGAAUUAUUCCUUAGUCACAAUAUAAUUAAAUUCCUAACAUGGCGUCCCUAAAGUUUCAGUCUGUUCAUUUAAACCCCAAAAUCCUGAAAAAUUACAAACUAAACUAACAAUUCUCUAAUAGAAAACACAGUCAAACUGAAUCAAAUAGCAUCAAUAGGUUUUUGAAAUAAAUAACAAUCCAAUGAUUCACCAAUUGAAACCUACAUUUAACAAGAACAAUCCGUGAAUAACCUAUUUCAACUUUUGAACCAAUUAAAACAAGGAGUCAAAUGAUACAAAUAUACUAAUUUUAGUUUCAUUAAACACAAACAAAAACAAAAUUGAAAAGAAAACUGGAACCUUGAUGGCAAAGUCGAACAUUAUCUCUGAACUACAUGAUUAUCAUUAACGAUUAAGUACAGAAGUAUAAUUAAUAAACCUAAAACCAGAAAAAAUAGUCAUGCAAUCUAAGCAAAACAAAAACAUGAAGAAAAAAGAGGAGAAAAUAAGAGGGAAACGAAUAAAACAAAGUAGAGGAGAAAUAACUUUCUUUGCUUUGGAAACCUUUCGUGAACGUGGACAAACUCUUCAAAGAAAGAAAGUGAACCUUCAACCAUCAUUAAUCGACUAUCUUUAACAGGAGACAAUCGAUUAAUGACGGUUUGAGGUUCAUCCAACCACGCAUCGACCAAAAAAAAGAAGUGGGGAAGUUCUAGGGCUUUUUCGGAAUCUAAGAUUUGAAAUUUGAACAAACUGGGAUUGAUUCGAGGGGGACUAAAGGUGGUUUGGGGGCUUAUAGAGGGGUAAGGGUUGUAGGGUGUUAAUUUGGAAUGAUUUGGAAUGAUUAGGGUUCGACCAGAUUCUUCGAUCCAAGAUUCAAAAAAAACCACGAGUAUUUUGGAAAAACGGUUAAGGGAUUCGUAGAGAGCGGGUGAAGGGGGAUCUGUUAUGUUAAUUUGGAAAACUUUGGACCGUUGGUACCGCCGUGAAGCGAUUUCUGAUGGUGUAUUACGUAGGAGGCGGCAAAGGAAUAGGAAGCGGCUAGGGUUUCUCUUGGUUAAAGAGACUGAGUGAGGAUGAGGGGAUCCGAU
This 2026-nucleotide long non-coding RNA is filed under the name Nicotiana benthamiana. RNAcentral describes it as "long non-coding RNA (NBEN_LNC016159)". The record is from RNAcentral. Lineage: Eukaryota; Viridiplantae; Streptophyta; Magnoliopsida; Solanales; Solanaceae.